UGGGGAAUUUUGCGCAAUGGGGGAAACCCUGACGCAGCAACGCCGCGUGAGUGAUGAAGGCCUUCGGGUCGUAAAGCUCUGUCAGAGGGGAAGAAGUGCAGGGGCGCUAAUAUCGCUUUUGCUUGACGGUACCCUCAAAGGAAGCACCAGCUAACUCCGUGCCAGCAGCCGCGGUAAUACGGAGGGUGCGAGCGUUGUUCGGAAUUAUUGGGCGUAAAGCGCGUGUAGGCGGUUUGGUAAGUCUGAUGUGAAAGCCCCGGG
Molecule: ribosomal RNA, 261 nt
Filed under: uncultured bacterium
Lineage: Bacteria
Description: partial 16S ribosomal RNA
Rfam family: Bacterial small subunit ribosomal RNA
Source: RNAcentral